This is a long non-coding RNA of Canis lupus familiaris (dog), 633 nucleotides long. RefSeq lists it as uncharacterized. The record is from RefSeq and is a predicted model, not a curated record. The transcript is spliced from 3 exons. Lineage: Eukaryota; Metazoa; Chordata; Mammalia; Carnivora; Canidae.
AGCGUUGUCCCUUCAGGAACAGAAGAUCUUGUGUGGUGAGGGUCUCAGCCUCUCCAUAACCAAUGUCAAGGUCGGAUCUGCCCUUGUGGAUCUGGUGAUGACUGCAGGAGGUCCUUCAGCUGCAACACAGGAAACUUUGAAAAAUAGAGCUUGGUCAUCUAUAAACCUGUAAUUAUAGCACACACCUGGGGCCACAGACAGAGGAGAUCAUAGAGACAGAGCGAGCCUGUGGCCUCCGCACCAGGAGUGUGGACAGAGGCUCCGCUGACAGAGAAGGAGCUGGGGACAUGGUUACUCCUCUCUUGAGAUGAACUUGAAAGGCACUCCUCUGAGGAGCUCCCGAAAUGUCCCACAGGUACUAAAGCCAGACUCACCUGCACCCUGGGAAACACGAAAAGAGAGGUCGGACACAGGAAGAGGGAGAAGCAGUGUCCCUGCAGGGAGCGCGAUGUGGGACUGGAUCCAAGGGCCCAAGGAUCAUGCCCUGAGACAAAGGCAGAUGCUCAUCCACCAAGCGACUCAGGAAUCCCAACAAAAACUUUAAAAACAAAAAUCUUGGAUUUCCUCCUCUUGUCUCUCCUUUACUACACACACUACAUGUUUCACAUAUCAUACUAUUGUCUUUUUUUUAAU